GGGUUGUUGAAAGGGAAACGAUUGAAGUCAGUCGUACCGACGAGAAAUCAACUUAUCGUGUGCGAACUUGUGGGCGUGCGUGAGUUUCGGCCUCGCUGUUUGCAUGUUUGUGCGUUUUGGGUGUACUUUUUCGUAUGGUAGGCCAACGUCAGUUUCGAUUAUCAUAAAAUGACCGGCGGAAUGUAGCUUCGAUUUCGGUUGAAGUGUUAUAGCCUCUGGUAGAUGUGGUGAUUGAGACUGAGGAUUGCAACGAAUACCCUUUGGGCUAUCCGUCUGGCCUCUGAAAGUUGCUCAGGUGCCGAAA
Molecule: ribosomal RNA, 304 nt
Filed under: uncultured Glomeromycotina
Lineage: Eukaryota; Fungi; Glomeromycota
Description: eukaryotic LSU rRNA
Source: RNAcentral